This 207-nucleotide ribosomal RNA is filed under the name uncultured bacterium. Its description in RNAcentral is "partial 16S ribosomal RNA". It matches the Rfam family "Bacterial small subunit ribosomal RNA", at positions 568 to 774 of the family's 1533-position model. The record is from RNAcentral.
CGUGUAGGCGGUUUGGCAAGUCAGAUUUGAAAGCCCUGGGCUCAACCCAGGAAGUGCAUUUGAAACUGCCAUCCUUGAGUAUGGGAGAGGAGAGUGGAAUUCCCAAUGUAGAGGUGAAAUUCGUAGAUAUUGGGAGGAACACCCGUGGCGAAGGCGACUCUCUGGACCAAUACUGACGCUGAGACGCGAAAGCGUGGGGAGCAAACA